This 355-nucleotide long non-coding RNA is filed under the name Phoenix dactylifera (date palm). RNAcentral's name for it is "long non-coding RNA (PDAC_LNC006096)". Lineage: Eukaryota; Viridiplantae; Streptophyta; Magnoliopsida; Arecales; Arecaceae. The record is from RNAcentral.
GCCACAAUGUCACAGCUCUGAACAAAUUCAUUACAAGGCUCGACCGUGAGACGCUCCUCGAUAAGGUCAUCAAUUGAUACAAGGUCAUCUACAAUGGUCAACAUGAUCUGCAGCUUCUUAAUACCAUAGCCCACAGGCACAAGCUUUGCUGCAAUUAAUUAGUACCAACGGUCAGUUUAUAGUUUUUUUAAAAAAAGUUAAAGGCACAAAGCAUGAUACUACUAAAAAUGUUAACAAGAAAAUUAGACUCACAUGCUCCCCAAAAGAGGCCUGGCAUCUCAAUGCUGCGAACAGCCUCCUCCAGCUUCUUCAUGUCAGUUUCAUCAUCCCAAGGUUUGAUAUCCAGAAGGACAGA